This 947-nucleotide long non-coding RNA is filed under the name Amphimedon queenslandica. RNAcentral describes it as "uncharacterized LOC109590061, transcript variant X2". The record is from RNAcentral. Lineage: Eukaryota; Metazoa; Porifera; Demospongiae; Haplosclerida; Niphatidae.
GCUUGUUUUCCUCGUGACUGUAAAGAGGCAUUUAAUCAAAGUAAUACAUGCAGUGGAGUAUAUACUAUUAAACCUGAUGAAUUACCAGCUUUUAAGGUUUACUGUGAUAUGAGUAAUGGAGGUGGCUGGACUGUAUUUCAAAGAAGAAUGGAUGGCACUGUUAACUUCUAUCUCAAAUGGGCCGACUAUGUUAAAGGAUUCGGAGACCUCAAUGGAGAGUUUUAGCUGGGACUUAAUAAUAUAUACCGGCUGACAAAAAGCAGCACUAGCCUUCGUAUUGACUUGGAAGAUUUUGAAGAGAAUAAGAGGUAUGCCACUUAUACUAGCUUUGAAGUAGGAAAUGCAGCCACGCAGUACCUACUGACUGUAUCAGGUUAUGGAGGUAAUGCUGGUGAUGGUAUGGCAUAUCACAAUGGAAUGAAGUUCACAACAUAUGAUUACGACAAUGACACUGGCACAGGAAAUUGUGGACUUAUCUGUAGUGGAGCAUGGUGGUACAAAUAUUGUCAUACCGCUAAUCUCAAUGGUUUAUAUUUAGUGGGUAGUCACACUUCAUAUGCUAAUGGUGUCAACUGAUAUCCUUUUAAGGGGUUCUACUAUUAAGGUUUACUGUGAUAUGAGUAAUGGAGGUGGCUGGACUGUAUGUCAAAGAAGAAUUGACAGCACUGAUCUCAAAUGGGCUGACUAUGUUCAAGGAUUUGGAUGUUUAAAGAGAGUUUGGCUCGGACUUAAUUAAACUUACAAGAAGCAGCACUAGCUGUUGUAUCAUUAAAGGAGCAAAAUGAGUCCCAGUGAUUCAGUACUUGCAGAGUAUAUUAAGAGGACACACUGUAAGAGACGAGUGUUUCACACCUAAGAGAAAAUACAGAGAUGAAACGAGCUCUCAAAACUACAAAUAGUAUUCUCUCUGGACAUUAUGUUAGAAUGAACUUGCGACAAAAAUGAAU